UACGGAGGGUGCAAGCGUUAUCCGGAUUCACUGGGUUUAAAGGGUGCGUAGGUGGGCAGGUAAGUCAGUGGUGAAAUCUCCGGGCUUAACCCGGAAACUGCCGUUGAUACUAUUUGUCUUGAAUAUAGUGGAGGUGAGCGGAAUAUGUCAUGUAGCGGUGAAAUGCUUAGAUAUGACAUAGAACAUCGAUUGCGAAGGCAGCUCGCUACACUAUUAUUGACACUGAGGCACGAAAGCGUGGGGAGCAAACAGG
RNAcentral lists this ribosomal RNA (253 nucleotides) under uncultured bacterium. RNAcentral describes it as "partial 16S ribosomal RNA". It matches the Rfam family "Bacterial small subunit ribosomal RNA", at positions 524 to 776 of the family's 1533-position model. The record is from RNAcentral.